This is a long non-coding RNA of Lolium perenne, 617 nucleotides long. RefSeq lists it as uncharacterized. Lineage: Eukaryota; Viridiplantae; Streptophyta; Magnoliopsida; Poales; Poaceae. The record is from RefSeq and is a predicted model, not a curated record.
AUCUAAUCUGACCUGCAAGCUGCAAUUACUCUUUACCCCUGACUUUACCCCUGAGCUGAAUAGCUGAGCCGUGGAAAUGCAUUCAUCUCUCUCCCGGGCGACGACGCCGGCGACUCGACCGGCCGGCCGUCGCGACCAAGCAAGAUCGCCGCGCUGUCUCUCCACCGUGAUGUCCCUCCUCGCCCCUAUCCGUCGCGCCCCUGUCUUCCUCUCCCUUUCUCUCUUUAUGUCCUCUCCCUCCGCGUCCCCGUGCGGCGACCACGGAUGACGGUGGCGGCGCAUCCCGAUGUCUAGAGGUGCUGAAAAAACUACUCCAUAACAGUGCCUCAAUGAUGGCUUCCAUUCCGCAUCAGUUCUGGCAACAUGAUGUGCCACUGCGUCCGUGAGCAGCAAUGUGCUAUUAGUGUUACUGAAAUCAUUUGCAAUCCUGUAAUCUGAAACUUCCUAGUUCAUAAACAUAUAAUUUUUCGGUGGUUUACGUUCAUGGCUGGGAAUCUGUGCAGGGAAUAGACAGGUUUAUUAAGCACACAUCUCAUGAUACUGUGAUUUUCGUUCAUGGCAAUGUCUGAGCUGCACACAUUUCGUGAAAGCAUCAUCUAUUGAUUCCACAAUACGCA